GGUUUCAUAGUGUAGUGGUUAGUACGUCUGCUUUACACACAGAAGGUCCUGGGUUCAUGCCCCAGUGGAGCCA
RNAcentral lists this transfer RNA (73 nucleotides) under Pteropus alecto (black flying fox). It matches the Rfam family "tRNA". From Rfam's summary of the family: Transfer RNA (tRNA) molecules are approximately 80 nucleotides in length. Their secondary structure includes four short double-helical elements and three loops (D, anti-codon, and T loops). Lineage: Eukaryota; Metazoa; Chordata; Mammalia; Chiroptera; Pteropodidae. The record is from Rfam by way of RNAcentral.